RNAcentral lists this ribosomal RNA (250 nucleotides) under uncultured prokaryote. RNAcentral's name for it is "partial 16S rRNA". It matches the Rfam family "Bacterial small subunit ribosomal RNA", at positions 525 to 775 of the family's 1533-position model. The record is from RNAcentral.
ACGGGGGUGCUAGCGUUGUUCGGAAUCAUUGGGCGUAAAGAGCGUGUAGGCGGCUGGAUAAGUCAGAUGUGAAAGCCCUGGGCUUAACCCAGGAAGUGCAUUUGAAACUGUUCAGCUUGAGUAAGGGAGAGGAAAGUGGAAUUCCUGGUGGAGAGGUUACAGUCGUAGAUAUCAUGAGGAGCACCGGUGGCGUGGGCGACUGUCUGGCCCUAUUCUGACUCUGGGACGCGAGAGCGUGUAUAGCAAACAG